RNAcentral lists this ribosomal RNA (497 nucleotides) under uncultured bacterium. RNAcentral's name for it is "partial 16S ribosomal RNA". It matches the Rfam family "Bacterial small subunit ribosomal RNA", at positions 28 to 507 of the family's 1533-position model. The record is from RNAcentral.
GAUGAACGCUGGCGGCGUGCCUAAUACAUGCAAGUCGAGCGAACAGACGAGGAGCUUGCUCCUCUGACGUUAGCGGCGGACGGGUGAGUAACACGUGGAUAACCUACCUAUCAGACUGGGAUAACUUCGGGAAACCGGAGCUAAUACCGGAUAAUAUAUUGAACCGCAUGGUUCAAUAGUGAAAGACGGCUUUGCUGUCACUUAUAGAUGGAUCCGCGCCGCAUUAGCUAGUUGGUAAGGUAACGGCUUACCAAGGCAACGAUGCGUAGCCGACCUGAGAGGGUGAUCGGCCACACGGGAACUGAGACACGGUCCAGACUCCUACGAGAGGCAGCAGUAGGGAAUCUUCCGCAAUGGGCGGAAGCCUGACAGAGCAACGCCGCGUGAGUGAUGAAGGUCUUCGGAUCGUAAAACUCUGUUAUUAGGGAAGAACAAAUGUGUAAGUAACUAUGCACGUCUUGACGGUACCUAAUCAGAAAGCCACGGCUAACUACGUG